CACUGUUCCUGUAAGUCAAAUGACUCUUGGAUCAUUUUUUAUUACAGAGUCGGAGAGAGAGCAAGCAGCUCAAAGCUGGGAGAAACGAGUGCAGAAAGACAUGAGCGAGGGGCGUGGGGCAUAGUUCGGUUGGUAGCGUACAUGACAUCCUAGGUCCGGUCUGUAGCUCCUCAUAUUUUGGGUGUGAGUAUGGUGGUGCACGCUUAGGACCCUGGCUCUGGGGCCAUAGAGGCAGGAGGCUCACAAGUGUGAGGUUAUCCUUGGCUACACAGUACGUUUUGAGCUCCUGUCUCAGAGUGGGUGGCGGGCAUGAGUAAUGACGGAAGGCAGAGGAGAAGGGAUGAGAAAGAGUAGAGGGGAGGGAGAGCUGUGAUGGAUAAGGAGAGGGCAAACAUUGCUUCAGAGCAGGCUCCGCUUCUCGGCCAUGUUCCGACUGCUCUGCUAACUUCAGGCAAGCCUCCCAGGGAGAAAUACCUGGAAGAUCUCAAUCUACUUAAGAUCUACUAGGUCAGCAUGGUGAGUCUUCCUUUGGCCUUAGGGUGGGGCAGAGCUGGACUGGCACUGUCACCAAUCCUUUGUCUGUCUAAAGCUUUGAAAUCUUUUUCUUUAUGGAUUCCCUAGUGUUGUUCUUGGUUUUCAUUGUUGGCUUAGUAAUAUGUAAUAUUAUCUUUUAAAUACACCUAUUUCAAAAUUCAUCCCUUCAUAUUUUCACACAUAUAAUUGUCAUGAACAUGCAAUGCCAGAAACAUAGACAAAUACAUUUGUGUCUUUCUAAAAUGUCAGAAUUUACAAAUAAAGAUAAAUGUACAAGGUUUAGCAGUUUCAAUAAGAGAAAUUUGUCAUAUAAUCUGAAUAUCUUGGUAGCCUGGCUGAGGCAAACACAGUAUCUUAGUCCACUCUUAAUUACUAAUAUUUGUUUUGGUUUUUGUCUUGUUUUGUUUUGCCUUUAAGACAGGGACUCUCUAUAUAGCCCUAAGUAUCCUAGAACCUACUAUGCAGACCAGGCUGGCCUCCAUUAAUUAUUAAUCUCAACUUUCUUAUGGCAUAGCACAGAGUAAGUAUCUAUCUAUGUGCAUAUGAGUGGUUUGCAGAAUGGAUACAAGCUAAAGAGACCGGACAGAGUUCAAAAGGUUUCAGAUGCAGGCGAAUAAUCUGAACAGAUAAGAUAAUGAACCAGUGUCAGGAGGUAGCUGCAUUGGAAGCUACUAGAGUCAGGUUUGAGAGCUGUGAGCCAGAAGCCCUAACCAAGAUCUGAGAGCAGGAAAUGGAUCAAGUCCAGACUGGUGAACAGGUGGAUGGACAAGGGGUUACGUAUUCACAUCCACAGCAGAGGAUCCAAUGGAUCCAAGGACGGCCGGGGGAGUCCACUGCCUGUCAGUCCUUGACACAAAUGCCGGGUCUCUGGUGACAGGUUAGCGUGGUGCCAUGCCAUCACCGGGUUAGGCGCCCAUCACUUUGGGGGUCUAGGGGAGGGAGUUAUACUCUUCUCUUGGCCUGGCGUGUCUGAUAAAUUCUUGGGCAUGGUUCCAUGGAUCUGCCCCUGCAGUUUUAAUUUUCAUUCCCAUGGCUACCUUUCUAUUCCCAGGAAUAAUUCAUUUAUCAGUCUGUCCUGGGGAGGAAUGGGUGGUACCCUUCAGAGGGUGUCGGUUCCUGAUCCCACGGGGGCGGGGCUGAAGUCAUCCUCCCUCAAAGUGAAGUAAAUAAAAGCUGAUUAUAAAAUAGAGUCUUCUACGGUAAGGCUCAGCCUGGGAAACACUUGGAGGGACAUAGCCCCAUCAUGAUAUGACGUGCGGUAGCCAUGCUUCCCCCAGACACAUCACAACGUAAUCUAUUAUUAAUAAUAUUCUCCCCCUGCUAUCCUCUCUCAUCCCUGCUGUUGCUUAUGAUUCCCUGCAAGCAUCCCACUUUAACACUGUUACUUUUUGUGUGGUGAUCUGUACACAUCUGUGCGCCUGAGUGUGGAGGCCAGAUGUCAGUCCUGGCGCCUUUCCUCAGGAGACGGACGGCCACUUCAUGUUUUGAAGCAGAGGUUUUCCCGGAGGCCUGGGACUCCAAGCUCCAUCCGAUGUGGACCAUCCUGCAACACAACAUCUGGGUAUAAACUACAACUUGAACCUGACAAGUUUCUACCUGGAGCAACGUAAGAGGACUCAGGAAAGGCGUGUUUUUGCGUGUUAACUGAUCUGUCCAUGUGGGAAGGGCGAUACAGCCCUGAGCUCUGCCAGAGACGACAGAGACAUGUUCGGAUGGAAACGUUCAGGUGGGAAAAAGCUAGUGACAGAGCUGAGGACAAUCUGGCCUGUGUCACCUUCAAAGGUUCACACAACGGUGUGUUAGCACUGCAAAUGUGAGUGACAAUGGCCUGGCUCUAGGAGCUUGGAAGAUUUGUAUUUAAUUAUCUUGUUGCCAUUUGUUGAAGGAGAGCAGCAUGCAGGCAUUUGCUCUCGCAGUCUUUGCUGUGGAUGUGCGUGAAGCGUGCGUCUGUGCUGGAGCACCUCUGUGCACACAGAGGCCAGGAGUGGACUCCACUACAGCUCUCCACCUUAUCAUUUGAGACCUGAACACAGAGCUCACCCAUUGGCUAGACGGCCUGGUGGGAGGGCUCUGUGGAUCCGUCUGUCUCCACCUACCUCCUGAUGGUAGGGUUACAGACAUGUUAUACGCACGACGGGGAUCUGGACUCAGGUCGUCAGGCCUGUGCAGCAAGCACUUCACCUAUCCAAGCAUCCACCCAGACCCAUGCCAUCUUUUUAAUCCCUGUAGUAACCAUUAGCAGGAGAUGUUGUAUCCUCAUUUUCCACACGAGGGACCUGAAGCUUACAAAGGGGAUCCUCCCCACCCCAGGCAAGUCAAGCAACUUGCUAAAGGUUAUGUGGGACCAUACUUUAAGCCCAGUCUGUCUGAUCCCAAAGUUACUUGGUACCAGCAGUCAGUAAGGGAUAGCCCAUAAGACAAAUCAACUAUGUGCUUCACAUUUUUAAAUUGUUGAAAAGUAAAAAAGAGGAAAACCAGUUUGUGCCUUGUGGAAAUUACAUGAAAAACCAAAUUUCAGUGUCCUUACUGUGGGUUUUUUAAAUUUUGUUUGUUGUUGUGUGUUUUUGAGACAGUCCCAUAUAUCCCAGGCCAGCCUUGAACUGUCUAUGUAGCCAAGGAUGGCUGAACUCCUGGUUUACCUGGACUCCUGGCCCUGAGUGCUGAAAUUACAGUACUGUACCACCAGACCCAGUUCAUGUGGUGCUGGGAUUGAAUCCAGUACCACACAUCACGCAUGUUAGGCAAGUACUAUCCCAAUGGAGCUACAUCCCUGGCGACACGAAUAAAGUUUUAUUGGCACGUAGCCCAUCUGUACUGUCUGUAGCUGCUUUCAUACUAUAUGAGAAGUUGCUAAAGAGACCAAGUGAUCAGUUAGCCUAGUGUAUUUACUACCCGGUCCCUUACAAUAAAGUUUUAUUGGCACGUAGCCCAUCUGUACUGUCUGUAGCUGCUUUCAUACUAUAUGAGAAGUUGCUAAAGAGACCAAGUGAUCAGUUAGCCUAGUGUAUUUACUACCCGGUCCCUUACAAUAAAGUUUUAUUGGCACGUAGCCCAUCUGUACUGUCUGUAGCUGCUUUCAUACUAUAUGAGAAGUUGCUAAAGAGACCAAGUGAUCAGUUAGCCUAGUGUAUUUACUACCCGGUCCCUUACAAUAAAGUUUUAUUGGCACGUA
Long non-coding RNA from Mesocricetus auratus (golden hamster), 3706 nucleotides. RefSeq lists it as uncharacterized. The record is from RefSeq and is a predicted model, not a curated record. The transcript has 2 exons. Lineage: Eukaryota; Metazoa; Chordata; Mammalia; Rodentia; Cricetidae.